CGCCGUGUCUGAUCUGCAGCCGAUCGCUGGUCCUGUGCGAUGUGGCCCGUGAACCCCGUCAGGUCCGGAAGGAAGCAGCGGUAAGCGGUCAACCGCAUGUGUUACAGCAAAGCCUGCGACGGCUGCAGGUCAGACAUGGCG
RNAcentral lists this signal recognition particle RNA (141 nucleotides) under Clostridia bacterium. RNAcentral's name for it is "signal recognition particle sRNA large type". It matches the Rfam family "Bacterial large signal recognition particle RNA", at positions 66 to 246 of the family's 256-position model. Rfam says of the family: The signal recognition particle (SRP) is a universally conserved ribonucleoprotein involved in the co-translational targeting of proteins to membranes. The record is from RNAcentral. Lineage: Bacteria; Bacillati; Bacillota; Clostridia.